UACGGAGGGUGCAAGCGUUAAUCGGAAUUACUGGGCGUAAAGCGUGCGUAGGCGGCUUGGUAAGCCGGUUGUGAAAGCCCCGGGCUCAACCUGGGAACGGCAUCCGGAACUGUCAGGCUAGAGUGCAGGAGAGGAAGGUAGAAUUCCCGGUGUAGCGGUGAAAUGCGUAGAGAUCGGGAGGAAUACCAGUGGCGAAGGCGGCCUUCUGGACUGACACUGACGCUGAGGUACGAAAGCGUGGGUAGCAAACAGG
Molecule: ribosomal RNA, 253 nt
Filed under: uncultured bacterium
Lineage: Bacteria
Description: partial 16S ribosomal RNA
Rfam family: Bacterial small subunit ribosomal RNA
Source: RNAcentral